RNAcentral lists this ribosomal RNA (520 nucleotides) under uncultured Glomus. RNAcentral describes it as "SSU rRNA". It matches the Rfam family "Eukaryotic small subunit ribosomal RNA", at positions 569 to 1090 of the family's 1831-position model. The record is from RNAcentral. Lineage: Eukaryota; Fungi; Glomeromycota; Glomeromycetes; Glomerales; Glomeraceae.
AGCAGCCGCGGUAAUUCCAGCUCCAAUAGCGUAUAUUAAAGUUGUUGCAGUUAAAAAGCUCGUAGUUGAAUUUCGGGAUCAAUAUUUCGGUCAUGCCGUUGGUAUGCACUGUUAUCAUUGAUUUCUCACCUUCUAAAGAACCGUAAUGCCAUUAAUUUGGUGUUACGGGGAAUUAGGACUGUUACCUUGAAAAAAUUAGAGUGUUUAAAGCAGGCUCACGCUUGAAUACAUUAGCAUGGAAUAAUGAAAUAGGACAUCCGAUUCUAUUUUGUUGGUUUCUAGGAUCGAUGUAAUGAUUAAUAGGGAUAGUUGGGGGCAUUAGUAUUCAAUUGUUAGAGGUGAAAUUCUUGGAUUUAUUGAAGACUAACUACUGCGAAAGCAUUUGCCAAGGAUGUUUUCAUUAAUCAAGAACGAAAGUUAGGGGAUCGAAGACGAUCAGAUACCGUCGUAGUCUUAACCAUAAACUAUGCCGACUAGGGAUCGGAUGAUGUUAAUUUUUAAUGACUCAUUCGGCGCCUUA